RNAcentral lists this ribosomal RNA (275 nucleotides) under uncultured bacterium. Its description in RNAcentral is "partial 16S ribosomal RNA". It matches the Rfam family "Bacterial small subunit ribosomal RNA", at positions 399 to 691 of the family's 1533-position model. The record is from RNAcentral.
GCGUGAAUGAAGAAGGCCUUAGGGUUGUAAAGUUCUUUCAACUGUGACGAUGAUGACGGUAGCAGUAGAAGAAGCCCCGGCUAACUCCGUGCCAGCAGCCGCGGUAAUACGGAGGGGGCGAGCGUUAUUCGGAAUUACUGGGCGUAAAGGGUGCGUAGGCGGCCCAUCAAGUUAGACGUGAAAGCCCCGGGCUCAACCUGGGAAUUGCGUUUAAUACUGGUGAGCUAGAGUACGAGAGAGGAAAGUGGAAUUCCUAGUGUAGAGGUGAAAUUCGU